Molecule: ribosomal RNA, 697 nt
Filed under: uncultured eukaryote
Lineage: Eukaryota
Description: SSU rRNA
Rfam family: Eukaryotic small subunit ribosomal RNA
Source: RNAcentral
GCUACCACAUCCAAGGAAGGCAGCAGGCGCGCAAAUUACCCAAUCUCGACACGAGGAGGUAGUGACAAUAAAUAACAAUGCAGGGCUUUUUAAGUCUUGCAAUUGGAAUGAGUACAACUUAAAACCCUUAACGAGGAUCAAUUGGAGGGCAAGUCUGGUGCCAGCAGCCGCGGUAAUUCCAGCUCCAAUAGCGUAUAUUGAUGUUGCUGCAGUUAAAAAGCCCGUAGUUGGAUUUCGGGAUGGAACGGAUGGUCUGCCUUCGGGUGUGUACCGUUUGGCCUGUUCUUUUAUCUGGGGAAAUUUUCUGCUCUUUAUUGAGUGGGAGAGGGACUCAGGUCUUUUACUUUGAAAAAAUUAGAGUGUUCAAAGCAGGCUUACGCUUGAAUACAUUAGCAUGGAAUAAUAAAAUAAGACUUUGGUCUUAUUUUGUUGGUUUCUAGGACUGAAGUAAUGAUUAAUAGGGACGGUUGGGGGCAUUGAUAUUUAAUUGUCAGAGGUGAAAUUCUUGGAUUUAUGAAAGAUUAACUUCUGCGAAAGCAUUUGCCAAGGACGCUCCCAUUAAUCAUGAACGAAAGUCAGGGGAUCGAAGACGAUCAGAUACCGUCGUAGUCUUGACCAUAAACUAUGCCGGCUAGGGAUUGGUGGAUGUUAUUUUCAUGACUCCGUCAGCACCUUAUGAGAAAUCAAAGCAUUUGGG